GAUGAGACAGACCGUCUCACUAAGACUGUUUGCUCGCCAUAUAGAGCAGAUGGUAAGUAAUUUCUAUUUAGUAUAUUUUAAGUAUUUAACUAUUUGAAUUUUUUUUAAAUUAUUCUCAAGUUGCAGAAAGAUGUAGAGAGUGAUGAGUUUUCUGAUUGGAUCGAAAUCUACCAGUGGACCCAUCAGCGAUGGUUAGGGGAGUGG
This 204-nucleotide long non-coding RNA is filed under the name Elaeis guineensis (African oil palm). Its description in RNAcentral is "long non-coding RNA (EGUI_LNC004957)". Lineage: Eukaryota; Viridiplantae; Streptophyta; Magnoliopsida; Arecales; Arecaceae. The record is from RNAcentral.